UUCGCAAUGCCCGAAAGGGUGACGAAGCGACGCCGCGUGUGGGAAGAAGGCCUUCGGGUUGUAAACCACUGUCAGGAGUUAAGAAAUGUAAGGAUGUUAAUAGCGUCCUUACUUGACUAAGGCUCCAGAGGAAGCCACGGCUAACUCUGUGCCAGCAGCCGCGGUAAUACAGAGGCGGCAAGCGUUGUUCGGAAUUAUUGGGCGUAAAGAGCACGUAGGCGGCCCCGAAAGUCAGUUGUGAAAGCCUUCUGCUUAACGGAAGAACAGCAGCUGAUACUGCAAGGCUAGAGUGCGGAAGGGGAGAGUGGAACUUCUGGUGGAGCGGUGAAAUGCGUAGAUAUCAGAAGGAACACCGGCGGCGAAAGCGACUCUCUGGUCCGUAACUGACGCUGAGUGUGCGAAAGCUAGGGGAGCAAACGGGAUUAGAUACCCCGGUAGUCCUAGCCGUAAACGAUGGGCACUAAGUAGAGGGGUUUU
Molecule: ribosomal RNA, 477 nt
Filed under: uncultured bacterium
Lineage: Bacteria
Description: bacterial SSU rRNA
Rfam family: Bacterial small subunit ribosomal RNA
Source: RNAcentral